CUAGUUGUACGAGUUCAGACUCGUAGCAGAUAGCUCAGUAACACGUGGCCAAACUACCCUCUGGAGCGCGACAACCUCGGGAAACUGAGGCUAAUCGGGCAUACCGCUCUCAGGCUGGAACUGCCGAGAGCUCGAAACGCCCCGGCGCCAGAGGAUGUGGCUGCGGCCGAUUAGGUAGACGGUGGGGUAACGGCCCACCGUGCCAGUAAUCGGUACGGGUUGUGAGAGCAAGAGCCCGGAGACGGUAUCUGAGACAAGAUACCGGGCCCUACGGGGCGCAGCAGGCGCGAAACCUUUACACUGCACGCCAGUGCGAUAAGGGGACUCCAA
This 330-nucleotide ribosomal RNA is filed under the name Natronococcus roseus. RNAcentral's name for it is "bacterial SSU rRNA". It matches the Rfam family "Archaeal small subunit ribosomal RNA", at positions 54 to 384 of the family's 1478-position model. Lineage: Archaea; Methanobacteriati; Methanobacteriota; Halobacteria; Halobacteriales; Natrialbaceae. The record is from RNAcentral.